AUUGAACGCUGGCGGCAGGCCUAACACAUGCAAGUCGAACGAGUGGCGGACGGGUGAGUAAUGUCUGGGAACCUGCCUGAUGGAGGGGGAUAACUACUGGAAACGGUAGCUAAUACCGCAUACCAUCAGAUGUGCCCAGAUGGGAUUAGCUAGUAGGUGGGGUAACGUCUCACCAAGGCGACGAUCCCUAGCUGGUCUGAGAGGAUGACCAGGCACACUGGAACUGAGAGAAGGUCCAGACUCCUACGGAAGGAAGCAGUGGGGAAUAUUGCACAAGGGGCGCAAGCCUGAUUCAGCCAUGCCGCGUGUAUGAAGAAGGCCUUCGGGUUGUAAAGUACUUUCAGCGGGGAGGCGUUACCCAAAGAAGAAGGACCGGCUAACUCCGUGCCAGCAGCCGCGGUAAUUC
RNAcentral lists this ribosomal RNA (406 nucleotides) under uncultured bacterium. RNAcentral describes it as "partial 16S ribosomal RNA". It matches the Rfam family "Bacterial small subunit ribosomal RNA", at positions 30 to 526 of the family's 1533-position model. The record is from RNAcentral.